RNAcentral lists this ribosomal RNA (465 nucleotides) under uncultured bacterium. RNAcentral's name for it is "partial 16S ribosomal RNA". It matches the Rfam family "Bacterial small subunit ribosomal RNA", at positions 338 to 795 of the family's 1533-position model. The record is from RNAcentral.
CCUACGGGAGGCAGCAGUGGGGAAUAUUGCGCAAUGGGCGAAAGCCUGACGCAGCGAAGCCGCGUGAGGGAUGAAGGUCUUCGGAUCGUAAACCUCUGUCAGCAGGGAAGAACGGUCACUGUGCUAAUCAGCAGUGAAUUGACGGCACCUGCAAAGGAAGCACCGGCUAACUCCGUGAGAGCGGCCGCGGUAAUACGGAGGGUGCGGGCGUUAAUCGGAAUUACUGGGAGUAAAGCGCACGUAGGCGGUAUGUCAAGUCAAGGGUGAAAUCCCCGCGCUCAACGUGGGAACUGCCUUUGAAACUGGCGUACUUGAGUGUGUGAGAGGAUAGUGGAAUUCCAGGUGGAGGAGUGAAAUCCGUAGAUAUCUGGAGGAACAUCAGUGGCGAAGGCGACUAUCUGGCACAUAACUGACGCUGAGGAGCGAAAGCGUGGGUAGCGAACAGGAUUAGAUACCCCUGUAGUC